GAGUUUGAUCUUGGCUCAGGAUGAACGCUGGCGGCGUGCUUAACACAUGCAAGUCGAGCGAAGCGUAUUUGCGGAAGUUUUCGGACGGAAGCGGAUGCGACUUAGCGGCGGACGGGUGAGUAACGCGUGGGUAACCUGCCUCAUACAGGGGGAUAACAGUUAGAAAUGACUGCUAAUACCGCAUAAGCGCACAGGACCGCAUGGUCCGGUGUGAAAAACUCCGGUGGUAUGAGAUGGACCCGCGUCUGAUUAGCUGGUUGGCGGGUAACGGCCACCAAGGCGACGAUCAGUA
RNAcentral lists this ribosomal RNA (292 nucleotides) under uncultured microorganism. RNAcentral describes it as "partial 16S ribosomal RNA". It matches the Rfam family "Bacterial small subunit ribosomal RNA", at positions 9 to 285 of the family's 1533-position model. The record is from RNAcentral.